UACGGGGGGAGCAAGCGUUGUUCGGAUUUACUGGGCGUAAAGGGCGCAUAGGCGGUCGUGACAAGUCACUUGUGAAAUCUCCGGGCUUAACUCGGAACGGUCAAGUGAUACUGUCGGACUAGAGUACAGAAGGGGCAACUGGAAUUCUCGGUGUAGCGGUGAAAUGCGUAGAUAUCGAGAGGAACACCUGCGGCGAAGGCGGGUUGCUGGGCUGACACUGACGCUGAGGCGCGAAAGCUAGGGGAGCGAACGGG
RNAcentral lists this ribosomal RNA (254 nucleotides) under uncultured bacterium. Its description in RNAcentral is "partial 16S ribosomal RNA". It matches the Rfam family "Bacterial small subunit ribosomal RNA", at positions 524 to 776 of the family's 1533-position model. The record is from RNAcentral.